Molecule: ribosomal RNA, 478 nt
Filed under: uncultured Methylophilaceae bacterium
Lineage: Bacteria; Pseudomonadati; Pseudomonadota; Betaproteobacteria; Nitrosomonadales; Methylophilaceae
Description: bacterial SSU rRNA
Rfam family: Bacterial small subunit ribosomal RNA
Source: RNAcentral
GCGGAAUGCUUUACACAUGCAAGUCGAACGGCAGCACUGGUACUUGUACCUGGUGGCGAGUGGCGAACGGGUGAGUAAUAUAUCGGAACGUAUCCAUUAAUGGGGGAUAACUAAUCGAAAGGUUGGCUAAUACCGCAUACGUCCUACGGGAGAAAGCAGGGGGUCUUCGGACCUUGCGUUAAUGGAGCGGCCGAUAUCUGAUUAGCUAGUUGGUGAGGUAAAAGCUCACCAAGGCGACGAUCAGUAGCUGGUCUGAGAGGACGACCAGCCGCACUGGAACUGAGACACGGUCCAGACUCCUACGGGAGGCAGCAGUGGGGAAUUUUGGACAAUGGGCGAAAGCCUGAUCCAGCCAUUCCGCGUGAGUGAAGAAGGCCUUCGGGUUGUAAAGCUCUUUCGCAAGGGAAGAAAACUUACUUUCUAAUAAAGAGUGAGGCUGACGGUACCUUGAUAAGAAGCACCGGCUAACUACGUGCCA